UACGUAGGGGGCAAGCGUUGUCCGGAUUUAUUGGGCGUAAAGAGCGUGUAGGCGGCCAUACAGGUCAGCUGUGAAAACUCGAGGCUCAACCUCGAGACGUCGGUUGAAACCGUUUGGCUAGAGUCCGGAAGAGGAGAGUGGAAUUCCCGGUGUAGCGGUGAAAUGCGCAGAUAUCGGGAAGAACACCCGUGGCGAAGGCGGCUCUCUGGGCCUGUACUGACGCUGAGGAGCGAAAGCGUGGGGAGCGAACAGG
RNAcentral lists this ribosomal RNA (253 nucleotides) under uncultured bacterium. RNAcentral's name for it is "partial 16S ribosomal RNA". It matches the Rfam family "Bacterial small subunit ribosomal RNA", at positions 524 to 776 of the family's 1533-position model. The record is from RNAcentral.